This 220-nucleotide ribosomal RNA is filed under the name uncultured bacterium. RNAcentral describes it as "partial 16S ribosomal RNA". It matches the Rfam family "Bacterial small subunit ribosomal RNA", at positions 524 to 744 of the family's 1533-position model. The record is from RNAcentral.
GACGGAGGAUGCAAGUGUUAUCCGGAAUCACUGGGCGUAAAGCGUCUGUAGGUGGUUACAAUAAGUCAACUGUUAAAUCUUGAGGCUCAACCUCAAAACCGCAGUCGAAACUAUUAGACUAGAGUAUAGUAGGGGUAAAGGGAAUUUCCAGUGGAGCGGUGAAAUGCGUAGAGAUUGGAAAGAACACCGAUGGCGAAGGCACUUUACUGGGCUAUUAGAA